CACCGUCUUGCUUUGAACAUUACUGCUUUCCUUUUGUUCUCCAGGUGGGCUCCUGAUCACCAACAUUUACACGGGGUUUCCUCGAAACUUGAACUGUUUUUCCCUUUGUUCUCUAGGUGGGCUCCUGAUUACCGACACUUGAAUUGUUUCUCCCUUUAUUCUCCAGGUGGGCUCCUGAUUACCGACACUUGAAUUGCUUCUCCUUUUGUUCUCUAAGUGGGCUCCUGAUUACCGACACUUGAAUUGCUUCUCCCUUUGUUCUUUAGGUGGGCUCCUGAUUUCCGACACUUGAAUUGCUUCUCCCUUUGUUCUUCAGGUGGUCUCCUGAUUACCGACAAUUGAAUUGCUUCUCCCUUUGUUCUCCAGGUGGGCUCCUGAUUACCAACACUUGAACUUGUUUUCCCUUUGUUCUCCAGGUGGACUCCUGAUUACCGACACUUUAACUGUUUUUCCUCGGAACUUGAUUUGUUUUCCAUUUGUUCUCCAGGUGGGCUCCUGAUUGUUGAGCUUGAACUACUUCCUCUUGCGACUGCUUUUCCUUUGAGCUGGCUUCCCUUGUUUCUCUAGGUGGGUGCCUGAUUGCUUGAACCUGAACUGCUUUCUAUCUUUGAAACUCGUGUUGUUCUCUCUUGCUCUCUAGGUGGGCGCCUGAUUGCAACAGAAUAAACAAAACAAAGAAAAUUUUUUGCCCCAGUUUGGUAGCUGGGCACAUCGGUGAGUGUUAAUUGAAUCAUGCUACCAAAUAUCUCUAAGAAUUUGAAAGCUAGAUCCCAUUAUCCUGGAGGGUCCUGAAAGCUCCUAGUAAAAUGACAGUUUUAAAGCUAAAUUAUAUUUUCUAAAGGUAUGACUUCCGCUAAAUCUUGUUAUCUAUGAAGGUCUUAAAACUACAUCCCAUUAUCUAGGAGGGUCCUGAAAAUCCAAAUCAAAUCUCAUCUUAAGAGUGACAACUUUAAGGCUAAAUUAUACUUCCCUACGACAGAACUUACGCUAAAUCUUAUUAUCUAAUGGAGGUCUUAAAGCUAAGUCCCAUUAUUCAGAUGGGUCUUGAAAAUUUCCAAUUGAGUCUCGUUCUAAGAAUGAAAACUUCAAAACAAACUUAUAUUUUCACAAAGUAGAGCUUAUGCUAGAUCUUGUUACUCAUGAAUAUUUUGAAUUUUAAAACUAGGUCCCAUAGUCCAAGAGGGACCUGAGAAUUUACGGUCGAACCUGUCUGGUACUUACUUUCCUUACAGAGAGUUUCUUCGAAACAAACAAAAUUUUCUUCCCCUAUUUCAAAUCAAAGAAAAAUUUUGUUAUUUUAAAAUGUGGUGGUUAGUUUAUGGCAUUCUUACUGAAGGUGGCCUCUCUGUUGUCGUGUUUUGCUUUGACUGGUUGCCUUGCAUAACCCGAGCGCUCUGCACCCAAACUGUUGUUUUACAUUUCUAACCCUUCUACCUAAACCUCUGUAUCUCCCACAAGAUUACUAAACCAUUCGACCAAUGGAACUUUCAUUGACACCUUAUUUCCCACUUUAUAUUAUGUUAUCUUUGGUAUGCUUUGGCCGCACUUUGCUUUGUGCAAUUUGGAGGUUUGGUAGUGAGCUUUGAAAUCCUUUCUUUCUUACUUAAACAAGGCUAAAAUUUGGAAAAACCUUAGAGAAAUAAUCCUAAAGAAGUAAAAUUCAAUGAAUUCGAGAGUUAGGAAUAAAGAGGAAAAUCCAAAACUGGAUGACAUGUUUGAAAGAGAAAAGGGAAAGAGACUUAUCUGAGUGGAGCGGCUGGUACCAAUUAUCAUGACAUGCAUUUCGGAUUAAUCAACCCAGCUUAUUCAACCAAUAUUCUUUCAAUCUUCACACUUUUAUGCCCGUGGUUCCCAUAAUCUAACUCCCUUGCCAAGUCAACGACCUUAUUCGGCUUGUAGUGCCCUGAAGGGUUUUCACCAACAAACCUCUCUCAUUUGUUUAUCUCUUAACUUACUGUCGUCUUACGGUGCCCGUGAGGGUUUUCACCAAUAAGACUCUCUCAUUUUUUAUUUCACUCAGCUUUCCAUCGUCUUACGGUGCCCGUGAAGGGUUUCACCAAUAAGACUCUCUCAUUUUUUACUUCCCUGCUCGGAAUGGAGUGUUUCCCCUGAUACGACUCGCCUCUACUUGCUCGACCUAGCAUCUCUCGAUGACUAAUCGAAAGGUCUUUCUUUGGACCGUAAUGUGCGCUUUGGAUAGGGUUAGAAAGAAAGGGUAUUGAAAGGCUCAAAACAAUUUGAAAUGGUUCAAAAUUAUAACUUUUGGAAUCAGAUUUCUUACAACAACCACAACUUUCUGCCCCAGUUUCUUUACUUGGGGACUUUUGAAUUUUAUUUUGACGGGACCGAACUGUGAGGCUGCCUACGUAUCCUUAAAAGGAAUCAGGUCAAACGUAGUUCAUGCAUAGAAAUUACUUUGUUGUUGUGAUUUUUCUCUUUUCUUUUUCUUUCUCUUCUCUUUUUUUUCCAUUUCCCUUUUUGUUGUUUUUUUUCUCUUCUUUUUUUCACUCUUUUUAUUCUUUUCUUUCUCUUUUUCUCUCUUUUCCUUUACAUAUCUUUUGUGUUCGCAUUUCUGAACUUUGCUACUGAUUCCAUAAGAGGGGAAUGAAAGGAAAUAAAUAAGGCUCAAAGGGGUAACAAAGGAUAAAGUGUUUAGAUAGCAGAACAAAAUGCCUUCGUCAUUCCAAUCUUCAAAACAUGCCAAGUACAAACAAACACAAUUUAAACCAAAGAAAUCAUACAUAAUAUCUUUUGACUACAUCAGAACUGAUAGCCAUAUCUACACAUUUGCCUUCUAUAUCUGUUAAAUACAAAGCACCAUAGGACAACACUCUCGUUACGAUGAACGGCCCCUGCCAAUUUGGGGCGAACUUGCCUUUUGCUUCAGCCUAAUGUGGAAGGAUGCGUUUCAAUACUUGCUGACCCACUUCAAAUUUUCGGGGACGCACUUUCUUGUUGUAUGCUCUUGCCAUUCUCUUUUGAUACAACUGGCCAUAGCAUACUGCUGCCAAUCUUUUCUCAUCAAUCAAACUCAAUUGCUCCAAACAGGUUUUGACCCACUCAUCAUCAUCAAUUUCGGCUUCAGCAAUGAUCUGAAGGGAUGUAAUUUCAACCUCCACGGGUAUUACUGCUUCUGGGCCAUAUACAAACAAAUAAGGAGUUGCCCCUACUGAAGUGCGAACAGUAGUGUGAUAACCCAACAGUGCAAAGGGCAACUUUUUAUGCCAUUGCCUGGAACCCUGCAUCAUUUUUCGAACUAUCUUCUUUAUGUUCUUGUUGGCUGGCUCAACUGCUCCAUUCGCCUUGGGGUGGUAUGGGGUGGAAUUGCAAUGCGUAAUCUUAGACUGUUGACACACUUCUUUCAUCAGAUGGUUGUUAAGAUUAGCACCAUUAUCUGUGAUGAUCACCUUGGGGAUUCCGAAUCGACAAAUAAUAUUUGAAUGAACAAAAUUGACCACUGCCUUCUUGGUUACAGACUUGAAAGUUUUAGCUUCAACCCACUUAGUGAAAUAGUCAAUGGCCACCAGAAUGAACCUGUGCCCAUUAGAUGUUGCUGGCUCAAUUGGUCCGAUGACAUCCAUACCCCAAGCAACAAAGGGCCAUGCUGCGGACAUUGUGUGUAAUUCAGAUGGCGGAGAAUGAAUCAAAUCUCCGUGUACUUGACAUUGAUGACAUUUGCGCACAAAACUGAUACAAUCUCGCUCCAUGGUGUGCCAAUAAUAACCUGCUCGGAGAAUCUUGUUUGCUAGAACAUACCCAUUCAUAUGCGGCCCGCAAACCCCGGAAUGUACUUCAGUCAUGAUUGUUGAUGCUUGUCUAGCAUCUAUGCAUCUUAACAAACCAAGAUCUGGAGUCCUUUUGUACAAAACUCCUCCACUGAAGAAAAACCCACUUGCCAAAUGUCGAAUUGUUCUCUUUUGAUCCCCCGUGGCUUGUACUGGAUACACCCCCAUUCUGAUGUACUCUUUGAUGUCGUGGAACCAUGGCUCACCAUCAAGUUCUUCUUCCACCAUGUUACAGUAAGCAUGCUGAUCGCAGACCUGAAUAUGUAAAGGGUCAACAUAAGCUCUGUCCGGAUGAUGUAACAUUGAUUCCAAGGUAGCCAAAGCAUCGACAACCUCAUUAUAGAUCCUUGGAAUAUGCCUGAAUUAUAUUGAUCAAAAUCGUUGACAAAGAUCAUGCAGACAUUGUCGAUACAGUAUAAGCUUUAAGUCCCGCGUCUCCCAUUAUCCUUGAAUCUAGUGCACCAGAAGGUCUGAGUCUCCCAAGACCAAGACUUCCUGGAUUCCUAUAUCUACAGCUAGCCUUAGUCCCAGAAUGCAUUCCUAGUACUCAUCCAUGUUGUUGGUACAAUAGAAAUGAAGCUGAGCCGUAACUGGGUAGUGAUGCCCUAUUUCAGAAAUGAGUACACCUCAUAUCCCAAUGCCUUUCAUGUUAGUAGCCCCAUCAAAGAAGAGUUUCCAACCGGGCUUUUCCUCCUUCUCGACCUCGUCAAUGUGUUUUACCUCUUCAUCAGGAAAAUAAGUCUUCAAAGGUUCAUAUUCUUCGUCCACGGGGUUCUCGGCCAAAUGAUCAACCAAAGCUUGGGCUUUCAACGCCGUCCGAGUCACAUAUACGAUGUCAAACUCUGUGAGCAAAAUCUGCCACUUUGCAAGCCUUCCUGUGGGCAUGGGCUUCUGAAAGAUAUACUUUAGAGGAUCCAGGCAAGAAAUGAGGUAAGUAUUGUAGGACGACAAGUAAUGCUUCAAUUUCUGUGCCACCCAAGUCAGGACACAACACGUCCUCUCAAGGGGAGUAUACUUAACCUCAUAAGAUGUGAAUUUCUUGCUGAGAUAGUAGAUGGCCUGCUCUUUCCUGCCAGUGAUGUCAUGCUGACCCAACACAUAACCAAAUGAGUUAUCCAGGACUGUCAAAUAAAGAAUCAAAGGUCUUCUUGGUUCUGGUAGGACCAACACAAGUGGGUUCGACAAAUACUCCUUGAUCUUAUCGAAGGCUUCCUGGAACUCAUCGGUCCAAUUGACCGCAACAUCCUUUUUUAGCAAGUUGAAUAUGGGCUCACAAGUUGUUGUGAGCUGAGCUAUAAACCUGCUGAUAUAGUUUAGCCUCCCUAACAAACUCAUCACCUUGGUCUUGUUCUUUGGCGGAGGUAGUUCCUGAGUAGCUUUAAUCUUUGACGGAUCCAAUUCAAUGCCCCACCGGCUGACUAUGAAUCCCAAAAGUUUUCCAGAUGGGACACCAAAUGCACACUUUGCAGGGUUGAGUUUAAGAUUGUACCUGUGGAGCCUUUGGAAGAACUUUCUCAAAUCUCUGCCGUGGUCAGACUACUUCUUGGACUUUAUGAUCACAUAAUCCACGUAAACCUCAAUCUCUUUGUGUAUCAUAUCAUGGAAUAUGGUUGUCAUUGCCCUCAUAUAAGUUGCCUCGGCAUUUUUCAAACCAAAAUGCAUGACCCGGUAGCAAUAUGUUCCCCAUGGUGUGAUGAAUGCCGUCUUUUCCGCAUCUUCCUCAUCCAUUAAAAUCUGAUGAUAGCCCGCAUAGCAAUCCACAAAAUACCCAAUCUCAUGUUUGGCACAACUAUCAAUCAAAAUGUGGAUAUUUGGCAAUGGGAAGUUGUCCUUUGGACUUGACUUAUUGAGAUCAUGGUAAUCAACACAUACUCUGGUCUUACCAUCCUUCUUUGGCACAGGCACAACAUUGGCUAACCACGUGGGAUACCGCUUGACUCGAAUUACCUUUGCAUCAAAUUGCUUUGUGACCUCUUCUUUAAUCUUCACACUCAUGUCGAUUUUGAACUUUCUCAACUUCUGCUUGACGGGAGGGAAUGCUGGAUCAAUUGGCAAUUUGUGGACUACCAAAUCGGUACUUAAGACUGGCAUGUCGUCAUACGAUCAUGCAAAGAUAUCCUUAUACUCAAACAAUAUUUUAAUUAUUUCUUCCCUGAUUUGUGGUUCAAGAUGGACACUUAUCUUAGUUUCUCUGACAUUUUCUAGGUCCCCUAGAUUGAUUGCUUCUGUAUCAUUCAGAUUAGGCUUGAGUUUUUCUUCAAAAUGACUUAGUUCCUUACUAAUCUUUUCAAAGGCCUCAUCCUCAUCAUAUUCUGAUUCAUCACCACACUCUAUUUCUUGGAUUAUUAUUUCAGAAUUAGAUUGACUUUUAAGACUGGACCGAAGAUUCCUCAUACAUGUCAUGUCAUUAAAACCAGCAUAAAAAGAACUGUACAGAGAAGAAAAGAAAAUAAAAAUAAAACUAUCAGGAAUGAUGGAAAGGGAAAUUGCAUUUCAUUAAAAUAAAGGAUAAUAGGGUUUGUACAUCAACAAGCAAAAAAUAAAAGUCUGGGUCACAACCCUGGAAUGACCUAGAUAGAAAGGAAAACAAAACAAACUACCAAGACUCUUUCCUAGUAGGGAGAGGAGUAGCCUUCCAAUUGUUAAACUUUGCAUUCGGCCCGACGAACUGCACGUCUACUUUGCUAGAACCUUCUCCAAAUUCCACCAUGUUCACAUCAUCAAACAACCUCUAGAACCUUUUAAUUAACUCCUCAUCAAUGUCAACCACAGAACUUGGGACCGUCGUCACUGGGCGUUUCCUGGCACCAGGCUUGACAAAGGACCUGGAGAGACGGGGAACAGGCUAUGGAAGUGCCCACACCUUCUGUUUCAACCUUUUAGCCCUUUUCACAUCUGCCGUUGUAGGUUUGAAUCCAAGAUCGAACGUACCCAAAUUUUUAGGGAGGGACACUGGUUGUACGAUACCAUGCAGAGAUGCACCCAGACCUUUACCGGGCACAAAACCAUUUUUUAGCAUUUCAAAGCCACCAUGGUAGAUGUAGAGGUUAUCUUAGUAGUUGGAAUACAUUUGCCCUCUGGAGCUUUCUCGACCGACACUAUUUCAAAAACCUGAUAGACCCAGGGCCCUUUGUCAUCUUCAACCUCAAUGAACGGGAUAAAGGCAUCACUGUGAGCACACAAGUUAUCUUCACCAUGCACGACGAUCUCCUGUCUAUCCCAUUUAAACUUGACCAUCUGGUGCAGAGUGGACAGGACUGCUUUGGAAGCAUGAAUCCAAGGUCGACCUAAUAGCAAAUUGUAAGAGAUGGCUACGUCCAGCACCUGGAACUCCAUGGUGAAUUUCACUGGUCCUAUUGUCAACUCAAGCACUAUAUCACAAACUAAAUCUUUCCAUGUACCGUCAAAUCCCCGAACGCAGAUGAUGUUCUUAUGAAUCCUCUCAUCAUCCACUUUCAACUUGUUCAGAGUAGAGAGAGGGCAGAUGUUUGCACUAGAACCAUUGUCGACUAAUACCCUAGUAACCACAGAAUCUUCACAUUUUACUGUAAGAUAGAGAGCUCUGUUAUGUUCAGUACCUUCCACAGGCAACUCAUCAUCAGAGAAGGUGACCUUGUUCACCUCAAAUAUUUUGUUGGCGAUCUUUUCCAGAUGGUUUACUGAAAUUUUGUCGGGAACAUGAGCCUUGUUCAGAAUUUUUAUCAAGGCUCGACGAUGCUCGUCUGAGUGGAUUAACAAUGACAACAAUGAAAUUUGAGAAGGCGUCUUUUUCAAUUGCUCCACAAUGGAAUAAUAUUGUACCUUCAUUUUUCUCAGAAACUCCUCCGCCUCUUCUUCAGUCACUGCUUUUUUCACUAACACUGGGUUAUCUCUGGAUGUUUUAGCUUUCCUUAACUCUUCCGGGGCAAAGUAUCUCCCCGAACGAGUUAAUCCCUGGGCCUCAUUGGCUUCUUCUUUCACUUCCUUUCCCUUAUAGGUCAGUAUCACCCGUUCAUAGUUGCACGGGAUAGCCUUGUUGUUGACUAUCGGCAACUGGGUUAUAGGCUUGAUGAUGACAGGAUCCAUACAGGCACCCUCUACAGCUAUGAUAGGCUUGUUUGCCGCUCCUGGCACAACCACUUUUGACUUUUCUUUCUUCUCCGCGACAUCACUUGGGGGUCCUUACUUGACUAGCACAGAUGGUUCACUGUUUGCCCUACUCAACUUGUUCACUGAUCCUUCAACUGUUGGUUUUUUAAUUAGCUUGACCUCACUGGACUGAAUCAUCAUGACAGUUUGUGAAGGCUUCUUGGGCUCCCCUCCCUUAUGUACUAUCUCGAUCAUGUUUGUUUCCUGAUGGGUUGGAAAUGGGUUCUGGUUGAUGUUAGGUGCCUAUGGAGUUUGGACUUCAAUCCGGUUUGUGUCAAUGAGCUCCUGGAUGGCGUUUUUCAAGUGGCAGCACUUCUCCGUAUCAUGCCUCGGAGUACCAGAACAAUAUUCACAGCUUAUAAAGUAAUCAAGAUUCUUUGGAGGAGGGUUUGACAAUUUUGACUCAAUUGGCCUCAGCAUAUCUAAUUGCCUCAAUAUGUGGAACAAACGAUAUAAGACUCCCCCAAUGGGGUAAAGAUUUUCUUCUAUUGUAUCCUCUUAUUUUUUAAAUGCUAGAUUAGGUCGGAAACCUGGGCCGGUAGGGUUUCGGUACACUCGUGGAGGUGGGUAAGCAUUUUGUGGAGCUGGGUAGGUGUUUUGUGGGGCUGGGGAACACCAUUGUGCGUAGGUAGGAGGUUAAGUAUAUGUUUGGGCAUGGUGGACAGAAAUAUGAGGGAAUGCUGAUGGGAAGUAGUGUUGGGUGGAUUAUAUGGAGGUUGGGUGUAGGUUCGGUGAUGGGGUCGCAGCUGGGUAUAUCGGUGAUGGACAUAACAGUGCUCUCUUUCUGCUUUGAAAUCUUUUGCCUGCUUGGUCAUCUUGUUCUCAAGGACGAUGAUCUUUUUCUUCAACCUCAUGACUCCAUUGUCAUAUUUCUCUUUUAAUUGUUGAACCAAGCGUGCUCGUUCCUCCGCAUUCUUGGCCAAUUUUGUUUGAGCCCUUGCCAGUUCGCCCUCGGCCUUUUUCAGAUCAAAACCAUAUUCACCCACUUUCUGCCUAAGGUUACAUAUAAACUUUUCAUCUUUUGCACUUCUAGCGGGGUUUUCAGCUACUAUUUUCAUUUCCUGGAUUUGGGCUCGAAGGGCGUCAUUUUCUUUGGCUAGCUUUUUCUUUUUGCCCUCAUCCGCGGCGGCUUGCAAACCAUUCUCAAACUGAAGAUCCCUGACUUGUUUUUCCAGUUUGCCUAUUGUGGCCCUAUACUCGUUCUCCUUGGCCAACCAAGCCCACUGUUCUUGCGAUACUUCAACAAAUUCCUGAAUGUGAGGCUUUUUGGUUGGUCUUUCAGGUUUGGCCCUUGUGGUGUUCUUUUUUCUAUACCAGGCAAGAUAGGCUGGUGAGACCUCGCCUCUAGAUAGGUCACACACUCGAGUGUUUGCUGUCAAAUACUAGCACUCAAUCCAAAUAUGACGAACUGUUUCUUUAUGAAAUUGGCCGUCGGAGCUGACUUCGACCGCAUAAACACUAAGAUCUUCAUCUGGGUGCGUCACCUGGCAUCUUCCCAACUGUCUCAUUACCUAGUAUGAAGCAUAAGGAUGAAUGCCUUGAAGACCCAUUAGAAGGAGGUAAGGCCCGGUGGCAGGCAUAUACAUAAUUUCUUCAACAGGAAGCCAACCCAGUGUCUGCUAUAUUUGCCCCGCAGUGAUGGAGCGAAGGCGGGGUACCCAAUCUCCAAACCCUUCUGGCAGCUUGAACCUUGAAAUUCUUGUGUCUAACUCUUCAAUGCAGCUUUUCUCCAUGGACCCAUAACUCAUAUACUGAGGGCGGUGAGACAGAUGCUGGAUCAUCCACAUUUGUAACAGCAAAUGGCAUCCUUCGAAAAAGUUUGCCCCAGCUUUACAAGCUGUGAGAGCUCGGUAUAUCUCAGACACUAUCAUAGGGGUGAGAGUGCUCUUGGCAUUGGUAAUAAAGAUAUUGAUGACUCCAGCCACCCGCAGAUCCAUAUUCCCAUCCUUUCGGGGAAACACCACGAGGCCUAAGAAGGCUACCAUGAAAACGAAACGCCUAUGCUCAUCCCAUUUUGCUCGGUUCCCUUUGCUACAAACCCCACUCUCCGGGUUGUCAAAUCCUCCUACAUGCCCGUACAUUUGGUAUAUGAAGCGUAGAGUGGAAAAACCGACCGCCAAAUCUGCGUACUAGACCCCACUACUUAUUUUUAGCAAAUCCAAGAACUUGUGAGAGGUAACGGUUCUUGGAGCGACCAGAUACUUAUGCCUUAGACCUUCAGUACUUCCCAUAUAACCUACUAUCUCUUCCAAGAUAGGUGUGAGUUCAAAAUAUGAGAAGUGGAGGACGUUGUGAGCUGGGUCCCAAAAUGUUACCAGUGCCCUUAUUAUGUCUCCUUUAUGCCUAAUCUUCAUCAAUCCGGUGAGCCCUCCCAAAUAAAGGUUGACCACAUCUCGUCCUUCUUUACCCAAAUCUUCCCACCACAUGAGUAGAUCCAAUGGAAUCUUGGACAUGACCUUUAUUGGUAAAUUUUGACUCGUGCUCAUUCUACACUUUUAGAUUAGGGUGAUUGGUUUACACACAAAGUGAAUCUCAUUUAAAAAACUAAUAAAAGGGGUUAUUUUGCAAAAAUCAAGAAGUCAGGGCUACUUUUGCGAAUACGGCCCUCUAACACUUUGAAAUGGAAGUUUUUAGGGCUGUGAUCACUAAGUGGCCAAAAUUUAACAAAACACAGUCAGUGACUAUUCUUGCAAAAACAGCCUUCCGGUGUCCCGUUGAGACAUUAGGCUAUUUAGACAAGAACGGCAUUACCCACUUUAUUUACGACAAAAUGACGACACUUCAUAUAUUUUUUCAAAUUUUUUCAAAAAGCGGAGCUGGACCUGAUAAGGGUUGCCUAUGUAUCCCACAUCCGGUGAGAAUCAAACAUGCGUAGUUUGGCUAGUUUUGACAUGAAAAAACAAAAAUCAUUUUGGACUAAUUCUUCUCUUUUCAAGAAACUUCUUUUUCAAGGAAUUCUUUUUCUUCUCUUUUUUCAAAAAUUCGGCAGAGUUUCGAAACAUUUUGGGCAUCAUUUUUGGGAAACGGGUGAAAUCCUCUCUCAUACCUCAACUCGGGUUUUCUUUUGGUUUUCCUCACUCAAUCUAGAAGCUGGUCAACAUGCAAUCCAAAACAAAUUAAAUGCACAGGUAGCACAUAGAAUGCAUCAGGUUGGUCUUUUACUUUCGGAUGCACCUGUCCUAGACGGACCCAACCCCUGUGUUGAGUCCCCAAAGUCAAAUGCACAUGGUGCAAACAAGCGUUCCUACUAGGGAUCCGACAUAAGGCUAAGUUAUUCUAAGUUUAAAACCUGGAUGUAUUGUUCUAGACCUGGCUUACACGAGCAGACAACUCGAGCCGAUGGGGGGAAGCAUACCGGUAACCAAAAGAUCAUCCAGCUUUGCAACUUGUCCGAACCUCGUUCUAAAUUGGGAUAUGACACUAACAGAAAGAAGUCACGCCAGUGUGCACUCCUCAGAAGAUAGAUGAGAGAGGUUUCAUAGCAGUUUAUAUAUACAGAUCAGAUAAUAUCAAAGCGGUAAAAGGCAACAUUUAGCACAUUAGGCCCAAACAUGUAGAUAAAAUCAGACAAUAAGCCGAAUAUAACAAUUAUUCUAAGCUCGAAUUCUUGAACCCUGAACCAGAGAUUCUGGGUUCGUAUCCCCACAGAGUCGCCAGAUCUGUCACACCUCUUUUUUCCUACCCCCGAAAAGUUAUAUAAGGGGAGAUUUUUCCAAUUCAAGUGACAAUCGAAACGGGAUUAUUUGUUUUUAAAAAAAAUCAUAGUCGCCACUUGGAAUAAUUUAUGGUGUCCCAAGUCACCGGUUCAAAUCCCGAAUCGAGGAAAGGUUGACUCUGGUUUAUAGUCCGCGAAUACAGAAAUUCGGGUAAGGAAUUCUAUUAACCCGAGAGAAGCUUUUAGGCAUUCCUGGGUCCCGUGGUUUUAGCACGGUCGCUCAACGGUUAUUAUUGGCCUAUUUAUUUGAUUUUAAAACAUCUUUGAAACCUAUGUGCAUUUUUAUUCCUUUUAAACCGCUUUUAAUAAUUUGAUUGUUAUACAACUAAUUAUUUGAUUACACGUUGCGAAUCAUGUUACAGGAGUCGUACCCAUGAUCCGCAACAUGUUUAUUUUUAAUAACAAAAUUAAAUUGUGGCCGGGUCGCAUAAAUGCACCCCCGGGUUUUAGGAAUUAAGUAUCAUGACCACAUCACGGGAACCGUACCCGUAGCUAUGACAAUUAUUUAAUUAACGCGCCUAAAGCAAACUACGAAAGCUCAAGGCAUUUUCUAUACUAAUUUGGUAUUUAUGUAAGGGCCAUACAUUAUGGAUUUUAUUUGCGUAUGGCGCACCUCAAUUUAGUUUAGGAAAAGAAUUUGUAUUUAGCUAAGGCAAACCUUAAAUACUCCUACUUAUACCUAAUUUUAAAAGAAACUAAGAAUCACAACCACGUCACGGGAAUUGUACCCGUAGUUGUAAUAACUUAAUUACGCGCCUAAAGAAAACUACGAGAUUUAUUUUAGUAACUAAAUUAUAAAAUAUGAGGGCCAUAGAUUAUAUGAUUCAAAUGUAUGAAUGGCACACGCCUCAAAACUAUUCAACUAGAUGAAUUAAGGAUAUUCAUAUUUAAAGCUAAUUCAAAAUUUAGCGUCACAACUACGUCACGGGAACCAUACAUGUAGUCGUGACGUUUCAAAAAAGGGCCUACAACGAACUAUGUGGUUCACAGUUUUGUUAUUCCUUACAUUGAAAUUAUUUUACAAAAAAAACCAAGAUUACAAAAGGGGUUAUAGGCUUGAGGGAAACGAUUCAGUUGAUUCAACACUUAAGGAAAGAUUAAUCACAAUCCCAUAUCUUGAUCCAUUCACGAAUAAGUCAAGCACAAUGACAAAGAUGUGGCAUUCAAGAAAACAUAGAGGAUUACUAUCUAACAAACAAAAGCAGAAAUGAUAAUAAUAGGGUUAACAAAAUGGUGUAGAUUUUCAAUAUGAUUAAAUCUUGCAUUUCCCUCCCUUUCCGAAGUGAGCUCUCAGUACUAAAACAAGACAAAUUUAGUAAGAUCAAAUCCACCGAGCCUCAAAGACGCAAUGGCCAAACAUCAGAUCAAAGAGUCCAAUAAUUGAUAGGCAACAAUAACAUAAAUGGCACCAAAUAUUCCAUCCACAUAAACUGGAUGCCUAAGCUACCAUACUUGGAUUGCAAACAUAAAACUAUCUUGCAAAUCUGUAUUAGGCCUAAAUCUCAACUUUUCUACAUCUAAAUCCAAAUGAAACAGCAAGAGUGCUCAAUGCAAAAAUCAGUUAAAGCUUCAAACAAACCAAAUCCAUCACUGAAGUAGUAACACAUGGUUAACAAUUCCAGAACGUUAUACUACCCUAAAGGACCAGUGAGAAUCUGAAGAUAUAACAGAUAAAUAUACCUAUAGAAUAGAUGAGUGCAAGUUCUUAACACAACAAAUAACCCAGUUCUCACAAUUAAUGAAAUCCCUUAUCCAGUGAAGAGAAGACCCAAUAUUUCAAAAGGAGUGAUAAGUCAUGUUAAGAAAAGCAUUUUGAAUCAUAUUUCAAUUGGUAGAACUGAAGUCAACCAAAUCCUAAUCCCUUCACACAACUAUAACCUUAGGUGAGUUUCAUUUAAAACUUAAGAGACAUGAUGUGCACAAUUGUUUGAGAACCAAUAAAAAUAACUCUCACGAUACAACUCUGUUAACAUUAGUAAGCCAAAGAUGAACAGAUCUAAUCCGAAAACAUAAGCAUAACCUAAACGCUUCAGUUUUCAAUUUAUCACAUUCAAACACAUCGAAUAGAAAGAUAGCACAUUGGAUAACAAGAACAGAUCGACGAACAUCUCUUUCACGCACAAAUCGAAACUGGAAGCUAACUUAAUUCAUCAAAUUUCAAAACAACUGCUUAAAUUCGAGUCGCUAACAACUACUAUCAACUAGAAUGCACUCGAUGACAGUCCUAAAACUUUGAUGCAAAGUAAAAUCAUACUCUCAACUAGCAGUCAUGAUCGGACUCGGAUUUCAAUACAAAGAUGCUACCAACUCAAAUACUCAACUCAAUUUCCUCAAUUAAUAACACUCAAUGGAUUAGGGCUAAAGUAGAAUGAGAAGCUAUUUUUCAAUUCGCAGAACUUCAAGGAUGAGCACAGCUCACACAACUGAACAUCGAUUCAGUUUAAAGUCCAAACAAUGGCAACAAACAGACUUGAACCAUUAAAAACAAUCAUACUUAAUGCAAAACUAUCACGAAUUCUAACUGAUCUUUAGAUGAACCAGUAACAUAUCUCAACAGAACCCAAAACUGAAAAGAAGAAGCCAAAGAAGGAUUUCCAACAUGUCGGAUUCAAACUAUAAGAUGCUUUCGAAUUCUCAGCAUUUCAAAGAUAAUUUCAGCAUUCACUCAAAAUUCAAACUUCAACAGCAAAUACUCACUCAUUUUGUUUUUUGAAUCUUUAACUUAACCAAAAGGAACCUUUUAAAGAACUGAACUAAUUUAAAAUAUGACGCGACUAAAGCUUAACAAAGAGUCAUAACAGUUCUAAUUGCUGAAUCGAACUGACUGGAUCGACAACAAUCAAUGAGCCUCCAAAAACAAUUUCAGAGCUCAGUUGACAUAUACACAUCCAAACCAACCAGAAAUACUCGUGCAAAUGGCAAACUAACACAUUACGACCAACAGCCACCAAGAUUUAAAUAGUUUCAAACCAGUUGAACUCAAACUCUCAAUACAUUUCUUAAUCAAAUACCAAAGAUAGGCUACAGGAGAUUAAAAACGAACCUGAAUCAGUAAAACACUUCUGUUUAAUUUUGCUCGAAUGUUGAAUACAAAUGAAAUCCGGAAGCUAAUGUCAAUCCAAACAAGCAAUAGAAUCGAGUAGAAAUCAGAAGCUCGGACAGCAGCAAACUCAGCAACUCUCAAUCGAUCACCAUUCCCAAACAAACCUCCAGCCAAGAAAGAAAGAAUGGAAUAUAUAUUUAUGAUUUUCUUUUUUUGAAAAGUAAUCGAAAAUGAAACCAAUUCAAAGAACAAUGAACAUUUUUUUAUAUCUUCUCUUGUUCUGAAAAACUGAACUAAAAUUCAAAAUGAAGAAGAAGAAAAAUCUCUUUUCAAUCCUCGCCUUUCUGCCCAAAAAAUCCCCCUUUUCAGAAGAGAAGCCUUACCUUAUAUAUAUCUCCCCAAAAAUCUCGAACCUUCUCUUUCUUUCUUCACAUACACGAAAUCUGAAAAUCUCUUUCGGAUCCAAUUCUGACGGAUGUAAGGAGGGGAUUGAUCCUCAAAUCAAUCCACGGCUCCCAUUUUUCGGAAUUUAUUCCUCAGAGAUUUCAACGAAUUCAGCACAUGGGUGGAAAAAAUGUUAGAAGCCGUUAGAAUAUUCGGUGACGUGGUGAGAUGGGGUGUGCGUGGGGUGAGUUUGAGCUCACUCGUGCGAGUUUGGACACAUAUCUAAUGGUGAAGGAGAUGGUGAAUAGUAAAGCGUCGUCUCUGAAUUUGGGAUCUAGGGUUCA
This 15399-nucleotide long non-coding RNA is filed under the name Nicotiana tabacum (common tobacco). RNAcentral's name for it is "long non-coding RNA (NTAB_LNC003467)". The record is from RNAcentral. Lineage: Eukaryota; Viridiplantae; Streptophyta; Magnoliopsida; Solanales; Solanaceae.